CCUGGGAUGCCAUUACCAUCUUACUGGGCAGCAUUGGAUGUUUUCUGUGUUUCUAAUACUGCCUGGUAAUGAUGAUUAUGGUGUCUCGCAC
This is a microRNA precursor of Chelydra serpentina (North American snapping turtle), 91 nucleotides long. The record is from Ensembl. NCBI's taxonomy places the organism in Eukaryota, Metazoa, Chordata, Testudines, Chelydridae.